RNAcentral lists this ribosomal RNA (253 nucleotides) under uncultured bacterium. RNAcentral's name for it is "partial 16S ribosomal RNA". It matches the Rfam family "Bacterial small subunit ribosomal RNA", at positions 524 to 776 of the family's 1533-position model. The record is from RNAcentral.
UACAUAGGGCCCAAGCGUUGUUCGGAAUUACUGGGCGUAAAGGGCGCGUAGGUGGCCAACUAAGUCAGACGUGAAAUCCCUCGGCUUAACCGGGGAACUGCGUCUGAUACUGGAUGGCUUGAGUUUGGGAGAGGGACGCGGAAUUCCAGGUGUAGCGGUGAAAUGCGUAGAUAUCUGGAGGAACACCGGUGGCGAAGGCGGCGUCCUGGACCAAUACUGACACUGAAACGCGAAAGCCAGGGGAGCAAACGGG